Molecule: ribosomal RNA, 528 nt
Filed under: Bacillus sp. AT08-03
Lineage: Bacteria; Bacillati; Bacillota; Bacilli; Caryophanales; Bacillaceae
Description: bacterial SSU rRNA
Rfam family: Bacterial small subunit ribosomal RNA
Source: RNAcentral
GAGCAACGCCGCGUGAGCGAAGAAGGCCUUCGGGUCGUAAAGCUCUGUUGUCAGGGAAGAACAAGUAUCGGAGUAACUGCCGGUACCUUGACGGUACCUGACCAGAAAGCCACGGCUAACUACGUGCCAGCAGCCGCGGUAAUACGUAGGUGGCAAGCGUUGUCCGGAAUUAUUGGGCGUAAAGCGCGCGCAGGCGGUCCUUUAAGUCUGAUGUGAAAGCCCACGGCUCAACCGUGGAGGGUCAUUGGAAACUGGGGGACUUGAGUGCAGAAGAGGAGAGCGGAAUUCCACGUGUAGCGGUGAAAUGCGUAGAGAUGUGGAGGAACACCAGUGGCGAAGGCGGCUCUCUGGUCUGUAACUGACGCUGAGGCGCGAAAGCGUGGGGAGCAAACAGGAUUAGAUACCCUGGUAGUCCACGCCGUAAACGAUGAGUGCUAAGUGUUAGAGGGUUUCCGCCCUUUAGUGCUGCAGCAAACGCAUUAAGCACUCCGCCUGGGGAGUACGGCCGCAAGGCUGAAACUCAAAGAA